CUACGGGAUGCUGCAGUAAGGAAUAUUGCACAAUGGGGGAAACCCUGAUGCAGCAACGCCGCGUGGACGAAGAAGGCCUUCGGGUCGUAAAGUCCUUUUCUGAGGGAAGAGGAAGGACGGUACCUCAGGAAUAAGUCUCGGCUAACUACGUGCCAGCAGCCGCGGUAAAACGUAGGAGGCGAGCGUUAUCCGGAUUCACUGGGCGUAAAGGGCAAGUAGGCGGUUGUUUAAGUUAGGUGUGACAUCUCUCGGCUUAACUGGGAGGGAGCGCUUAAAACUAGGCAACUAGAGGGCGGAAGAAGGGGGUAGAACUCCAAAUGUAGCGGUGGAAUGCUCAGAUAUUUGGAAGAAUACCAGUGGCGAAGGCGACCCCCCGGUCCGUGCCUGACGCUGAGAGGCGAAAGCUAGGGUAGCGAACGGGAUUAGAUACCCCCGUAGUC
Molecule: ribosomal RNA, 440 nt
Filed under: uncultured bacterium
Lineage: Bacteria
Description: partial 16S ribosomal RNA
Rfam family: Bacterial small subunit ribosomal RNA
Source: RNAcentral